CCAUAGCUCAGUUGGUAGAGCAAAGGACUGAAAAUCCUUGUGUCCCCGGUUCGAUUCCUGGUGGCACCA
RNAcentral lists this transfer RNA (69 nucleotides) under Prevotella sp. RNAcentral's name for it is "tRNA-Phe". It matches the Rfam family "tRNA". Rfam says of the family: Transfer RNA (tRNA) molecules are approximately 80 nucleotides in length. Their secondary structure includes four short double-helical elements and three loops (D, anti-codon, and T loops). RNAcentral also lists the same sequence under 3 other names. The record is from RNAcentral. Lineage: Bacteria; Pseudomonadati; Bacteroidota; Bacteroidia; Bacteroidales; Prevotellaceae.